ACACAGUACAAACAGAACAGUAGUUUAACUUCAUACAAAGUGGCCGCCGCCGGUUUGAAUGUAUGCGUGAGCAGCGGGCGCCGUGUACGUACGGAAGUUUCACGCACACAUUCGCAUAGUCUCAAGUGGCUCAAGUGGCCGGCAGUACGGGCCGCGCCGCCAUGCUAAUCGCGCGCAAUUGCGUAUUACGUUGCACGCUCGCUCUUUUUUGUUUUGUUAAUAACAAUUAUGACUUCAAAAAAAGCCAAAAUUUAUUGUGGUGUCUUCGGGUGUCUCAAUAACGACUCCAACAAACCGGACUUAUCAUUCUUCAAUAUACCUACUGAACAAGACACGCGCUUACAAUGGCUACGAUCAAUCGAUCGCGAAGAUUUGUCCGAUAAGCCAACACGUCGCAUACUCGUGUGUGAAGUAUUCAAAGCUGAAGAUAGAAUUUUUAAAAUUUGUCUUUUCUUUUUAAAACGUCUUU
Molecule: long non-coding RNA, 469 nt
Organism: Maniola jurtina (meadow brown)
Lineage: Eukaryota; Metazoa; Arthropoda; Insecta; Lepidoptera; Nymphalidae
Exons: 2
Source: RefSeq, a predicted model, not a curated record